GUGGUAGGCUUUGUUCCUGGGCAUUCUUGUAAACCAUCUUUGUGAGUUUUUCUUCAGCUUCGCUCCAGAUAGUUGGGAUGUAUUCUGAGAACGUAUCAUUUUUCUUGGCUCAUCAGUAAUGAAAUUGACUCCAAAAAGAUGGAUGCCAUGUGUACAGAUUCACAGCGAGUCCCACUUGUUGCCCAAAGGAUGGUGAAGAUGUGUUUUACCUGCUUGGCUAUUAGACUUUAUCAAAACAAAUUCAAUAAAAUAUUACAAAAA
Long non-coding RNA from Callorhinchus milii (elephant shark), 261 nucleotides. RefSeq lists it as uncharacterized. NCBI's taxonomy places the organism in Eukaryota, Metazoa, Chordata, Chondrichthyes, Chimaeriformes, Callorhinchidae. The record is from RefSeq and is a predicted model, not a curated record. The transcript is spliced from 2 exons.